AGAGUUUGAUCCUGGCUCAGGAUGAACGCUGGCGGCGUGCUUAACACAUGCAAGUCGAACGAAGCAUGGGAAGACGGAAUUUUUCGGAAGGAAGUCUUCUAUGACUGAGUGGCGGACGGGUGAGUAACGCGUGGGUAACCUGCCUCAUACAGGGGGAUAACAGUUAGAAAUGACUGCUAAUACCGCAUAAGACCACAGUGCCGCAUGGCACAGGGGCCAAAGCCUUGACGGUAUGAGAUGGACCCGCGUCUGAUUAGGUAGUUGGUGGGGUAACGGCCUACCAAGCCGACGAUCAGUAGCCGACCUGAGAGGGUGACCGGCCACAUUGGGACUGAGACACGGCCCAAACUCCUACGGGAGGCAGCAGUGGGGAGUAUUGCACAAUGGGGGAAACCCUGAUGCAGCGACGCCGCGUGAGUGAAGAAGUAUUUCGGUAUGUAAAGCUCUAUCAGCAGGGAAGAAAAUGACGGUACCUGACUAAGAAGCCCCGGCUAACUACGUG
This 502-nucleotide ribosomal RNA is filed under the name uncultured Lachnospiraceae bacterium. RNAcentral describes it as "bacterial SSU rRNA". It matches the Rfam family "Bacterial small subunit ribosomal RNA", at positions 8 to 507 of the family's 1533-position model. The record is from RNAcentral. Lineage: Bacteria; Bacillati; Bacillota; Clostridia; Lachnospirales; Lachnospiraceae.